UGGGGAAUAUUGCACAAUGGGCGCAAGCCUGAUGCAGCCAUGCCGCGUGUGUGAAGAAGGCCUUCGGGUUGUAAAGCACUUUCAGCGAGGAGGAAGGUGGUGAACUUAAUACGUUCAUCAAUUGACGUUACUCGCAGAAGAAGCACCGGCUAACUCCGUGCCAGCAGCCGCGGUAAUACGGAGGGUGCAAGCGUUAAUCGGAAUUACUGGGCGUAAAGCGCACGCAGGCGGUUUGUUAAGUCAGAUGUGAAAUCCCCGGGCUCAACCUGGGAACUGCAUUUGAAACUGGCAAGCUAGAGUCUCGUAGAGGGGGUAGAAUUCCAGGUGUAGCGGUGAAAUGCGUAGAGAUCUGGAGGAGUACCGGUGGCGAAGGCGGCCCCCUGGACGAAGACUGA
Molecule: ribosomal RNA, 395 nt
Filed under: uncultured bacterium
Lineage: Bacteria
Description: partial 16S ribosomal RNA
Rfam family: Bacterial small subunit ribosomal RNA
Source: RNAcentral